RNAcentral lists this ribosomal RNA (163 nucleotides) under Crepis rubra. Its description in RNAcentral is "5.8S ribosomal RNA". It matches the Rfam family "5.8S ribosomal RNA". From Rfam's summary of the family: 5.8S ribosomal RNA (5.8S rRNA) is a component of the large subunit of the eukaryotic ribosome. Lineage: Eukaryota; Viridiplantae; Streptophyta; Magnoliopsida; Asterales; Asteraceae. The record is from RNAcentral.
AAACGACUCUCGGUAACGGAUAUCUCGGCUCACGCAUCGAUGAAGAACGUAGCAAAAUGCGAUACUUGGUGUGAAUUGCAGAAUCCCSUGAACCAUCGAGUUUUUGAACGCAAGUUGCGCCCGAAGCCAUCCGGUUGAGGGCACGCCUGCCUGGGCGUCACGC